This 90-nucleotide transfer RNA is filed under the name Acidithiobacillus thiooxidans. Its description in RNAcentral is "tRNA-Ser". It matches the Rfam family "tRNA". Rfam says of the family: Transfer RNA (tRNA) molecules are approximately 80 nucleotides in length. Lineage: Bacteria; Pseudomonadati; Pseudomonadota; Acidithiobacillia; Acidithiobacillales; Acidithiobacillaceae. The record is from RNAcentral.
GGAAGUGUGGCAGAGCCCGGUUGAUUGCACCAGUCUCGAAAACUGGAGGCCUGAAAGGGUCCGCAGGUUCAAAUCCUGCCACUUCCGCCA